This 502-nucleotide small RNA is filed under the name Drosophila ananassae. RNAcentral's name for it is "GF26744". Lineage: Eukaryota; Metazoa; Arthropoda; Insecta; Diptera; Drosophilidae. The record is from RNAcentral.
AUAACUUCAGUACAACAGGCACUUUCAACGCCAUAGGAACGUAUCGCUAAGCGAAAAUCAAUAUAAAUAUAAAUUUGUUGGAAUUUAAAUAAAAACGAGAAGUUUAAUUAUUUUAUUUUUUCAAAAUUCGAUUUCAAAAUGCAAACAACCGAAGUGGGUGAAAGUAAACGGAAUACAGUUUCAAAAAUUUUCAAAAGUGCUUAAAAUGAAAAAAAUUAUAAGCAAAAAAUAAAAAAUAUUCAACGCAAAGCAAGAUUCAAACACUCUACUCAAGACACCAGUAAAAGGAAAGAAAAAUACACCAUAAUGAUAAACUAAAGAAGAUACAUUGUUAAUUAUAUUUUACAUAAGUAAUAUUGAAAAUGAAUGAUAUUGGAUUGGAUUGAACUCGAAGAAUUUAAAACAUUUCAACACAACAAUGACUUAAUUACAUUAUACAAUUUAUAACCUAUAAUUAAAUGGGUUUAUGUUUCAUCUGAAAGCAUUAAAAAAUUUAAAUUUC